CCUACGGGGGGCAGCAGUGAGGAAUAUUGGUCAAUGGGCGCGAGCCUGAACCAGCCAAGCAGCGUGAAGGAUGACUGCCCUACGGGUUGUAAACUUCUUUUAUAAAGGAAUAAAGUGAGGCUCGUGUGCCUUUUUGUAUGUACUUUAUGAAUAAGGAUCGGCUAACUCCGUGCCAGCAGCCGCGGUAAUACGGAGGAUCCGAGCGUUAUCCGGAUUUAUUGGGUUUAAAGGGAGCGUAGAUGGGUUGUUAAGUCAGUUGUGAAAGGUUGCGGCUCAACCGUAAAAGUGCAAUUGAUACUGGCAGUCUUGAGUACAGGUGAGGUAGGCGGAAUUCGUAGUGUAGCGGUGAAAUGCUUAGAUAUCACGAAGAACUCCGAUUGCGAAGGCAGCUUACUAAACUGCCACUGACACUGAUGCACGAAAGUGUGGGUAUCAAACAGGAUUAGAUACCCUUGUAGUC
This 460-nucleotide ribosomal RNA is filed under the name uncultured bacterium. RNAcentral's name for it is "partial 16S ribosomal RNA". It matches the Rfam family "Bacterial small subunit ribosomal RNA", at positions 338 to 795 of the family's 1533-position model. The record is from RNAcentral.